RNAcentral lists this ribosomal RNA (460 nucleotides) under uncultured bacterium. RNAcentral describes it as "partial 16S ribosomal RNA". It matches the Rfam family "Bacterial small subunit ribosomal RNA", at positions 338 to 795 of the family's 1533-position model. The record is from RNAcentral.
CCUACGGGAGGCUGCAGUGAGGAAUAUUGGGCAAUGGACGAGAGUCUGAACCAGCCAAGUAGCGUGAAGGAUGACUGCCCUAUGGGUUGUAAACUCCUUUUAUAAAGGAAUAAAACGAGGCACGUGUGCCUUUUUGCAUGUACUUUAUGAAUAAGGAUCGGCUAACUCCGUGCCAGCAGCCGCGGUAAUACGGAGGAUCCGAGCGUUAUCCGGAUUUAUUGGGUUUAAAGGGAGCGUAGAUGGGUUGUUAAGUCAGUUGUGAAAGUUUGCGGCUCAACCGUAAAAUUGCAAUUGAUACUGGCAGUCUUGAGUACAGUUGAGGUAGGCGGAAUUCGUGGUGUAGCGGUGAAAUGCUUAGAUAUCACGAAGAACCCCGAUGGCGAAGGCAGCUUACUAAACUGUGACUGACAUUGAUGCUCGAAAGUGUGGGUAGCAAACAGGAUUAGAUACCCGUGUAGUC